GAUGAAGAACGUAGCGGAAUGCGAUACUUGGUGUGAAUUGCAGAAUCCCGUGAACCAUCGAGUCUUUGAACGCAAGUUGCGCCUCAAGCCAUUAGGUUGAGGGCACGUCUGCCUGGGCGUCACAUAUCGUUGCCUGAUGCCAGUUUCCUCGUGAUGGGUGACUGUGCAGGGCGAAUGAUGGCUUCCCGUGAGCAUUGUUGCCUCAUGGUUGGUUGAAAAUUGAGUCCUUGGUAGGGAGCGCCGUGAUAGAUGGUGGUUGAGUGACGAACGAGACCCAAUCAUGUGAGACCCCUACCGAAUUUGGCCUUCAUGACCCACAUGCGUCUUUGGAACGCUCAUGACGAGACCUCAGGUCAGGCGGGGCUACCCGCUGAGUUUAAGCAUAUCAAUAAGCGGAGGA
Molecule: unclassified non-coding RNA, 400 nt
Filed under: soil metagenome
Description: partial contains 5.8S ribosomal RNA, internal transcribed spacer 2, and large subunit ribosomal RNA
Rfam family: 5.8S ribosomal RNA (bases 1-122)
Source: RNAcentral